This is an RNA transcript of Hevea brasiliensis (rubber tree), 2254 nucleotides long. RefSeq lists it as uncharacterized. NCBI's taxonomy places the organism in Eukaryota, Viridiplantae, Streptophyta, Magnoliopsida, Malpighiales, Euphorbiaceae. The transcript is spliced from 11 exons. The record is from RefSeq and is a predicted model, not a curated record.
CCCGACCUUAACUCUCAUGGUGAAUAUUAAAUUUCAAACUCCAAAUCUUCCCAAAUCCUAUUAUGUCCAAACCCGUCCGUCCUAGGAAGAUUCCGUCUGAUUGUAGCUGCAAAAGCCCGACCCACUGCCAUCCCUACCUGAAACACUCAUCUGUUUUCCACCGCCGCUCCUCACUCCUUCAAGUUUCGAUCCCUUUCUUCCCUCUCUUUCAGUCGGUCACCAUUUUUUGGGUGGAGAUUGAUUAUUCUAGAGUUCAACGGCCCAGGCACGACACUUGGUGAAUGAGUGUCUUACCGUUGAGCCUAGCUGCUACUUUCCUUCAUAAAGCUCUGCCUUUUCAGUCCAAGAUGCUUAAAACGCUGAUGCCAAGAAGACGAUAAGGUUACUGCAAGGGAUUUAGGUGAUGAAUCUGUGCCUAUCCGCCAGUGGCAACAUUGGAGCUAAUCAAGAAAUGACAGAUGAAGGUGGUCUUCCUAGCUUUCCACUUGGACAUAUGAAUAAUUUGCCAGCAUCAUUUCCUAGUACUCCAGAUGCUUCUAUUGGUUCUGCUCUUGGCUCAUGCCCAUCUAAUCGGAUUAUGAUCAAAGUUGUAAGGGGAAAGUUCAUUCCUAAUGGUCAUGCUAUCUCAACCCAUAUCAUGGGCACCUUUAGGGAGCGACAGAAUGCUACUGGUUACAUAUGGAAGAAUGUCUCUCCAUCUACUCGUGACUUCUACUUAUGAAAAAAAUAUCAAUGGAAUGCAACUGAUGAUGGCUUAAUUAAUGACACUUGGGAUAAAGUGGUAUCUCUUCUAUACAAUAAGAAAUUAUACACUUGGCGGAAGAAAGGAACAAAACCUAUAGGUGUUGCACAAGAUGUAUGGGAUAGCUGGAUGGCACACUGGUCUACUCCAUAGUGGAUUGCUAAAUCUUGUAUUGCUUCUCAAAAUUGGCGUAGCGAGACUGGUAGUCUAGGCACUGGUUUAAGCAAGCAUACUGGCAGAAGAACUACACCGUGAUCCUAAUUCUUGGGAGCUGUUUAAAAAGUUGCAUAAAAAAAAGGAUGGAACCUUUGUUGAUGCCAGGUCUCAAAGCAUUAAUAUAAGAUCAAAUGGAGGCUAUAGUGAUUGCUGCUACUACUACUAAUGCUACUUCGAACUCACAGAUGACGAUUCACAAGAGAUCUCAAUCAAUGUCAAUCGCUAUACUUAGAUAUUGUGGGUGGAGAGAAGAAGUGACGUGUGUAUGGUUUGGGUUCUCAUGCUUCAACUUUAUACCCAGACUCAUUCAGCAGCUCUGUCACUUCCCGCAAGACAGCUACGGUGACAAAUUAUGUUGCUGAUGAGCGCAUUAAAGUGCUUGAGGAGAAGAUCGUAUGCAUGAGGGAAAAUCAAGAGCGAAUUCUUCAGCAACGCGUUGAGAGGAGGUAUCGCGCCUCAGGCAACAGAGUGAAGAGCAAUUUCGCUCUAUGCAAGAGGAGAUGAGGCGUAUAAUGAGCUUAUCAGCCGUUCUAUUGCACACUGGGAGAUACAUAUGUGAUCGAUGGUGUGACAGCCCGAGGUUCUAGAGAGACAGACAGAGAGCCUAGUAGACCACAGACUGGGUGAGGCCGUCCAUAAUUCUACAUAGUAUUCGUGUCACCUCACAGACUUCAGUGCAUUGUUGAAAAGGAUAUUGAAGAGCAUAAGGAACAUUGAGUCAAGGCCAAGAGGCAACUCAUCCGAGGUCUGUGCAUAAUACUUUUUAUAUUCACUGCUUUUACUGGAAACUUUAUUUGAAGAAAUGAGUUAUGAAUAAUUUUUUAUUGUUUUGAUUUUGGGAAUUUUAUUUGAGAAUUAUUGUGUUGCCUACUUUGUAAAUGGAAAUUUUGAGAUAAAAUGUGUUUAGUGGUAUCAGAGCAAAGUAGGGACGGCGAUACGUAACGUCUACAAUUCCUGGGAACUCUUACGCACGAACUGUGGCGAAGCGUGACUCUCUGCUCAGGAGCUUGCAGGGACGAUGAUACGUAACGCCUGCAAGUGCUCUGAUAGGUAGACAGACAGAUAGAGCAGCAAAUUAGGCUGCUUGUACUACACUUUGAGAUUUUGCCGGGUAUAUUGAGUAUACCACCUUUUGUAAUUUUUGUUGUAAUGUAUGUACACUGUAUAUAUAUAUAUUGUGGUCUUGAGCAGUUGUAAACGAAAGUUAUAAAUUAUUUUGGCCUAUAAAAAUGUUGUAUUAUAAUUUUCUUAUCUCAGCUUUGAAAUACUUAGUCAUUUUGCAUUCUAUUUUUGAAA